ACGAACGCUGGCGGCGUGCUUAACACAUGCAAGUCGAACGGAAAGGCCCUGCUUUUGUGGGGUGCUCGAGUGGCGAACGGGUGAGUAACACGUGAGUAACCUGCCCUUGACUUUGGGAUAACUUCAGGAAACUGGGGCUAAUACCGGAUAGGAGCUCCUGCUGCAUGGUGGGGGUUGGAAAGUUUCGGCGGUUAGGGAUGGACUCGCGGCUUAUCAGCUUGUUGGUGGGGCAGUGGCUUACCAAGGCUUUGACGGGUAGCCGGCCUGAGAGGGUGACCGGCCACAUUGGGACUGAGAUACGGCCCAGACUCCUACGGGAGGCAGCAGUGGGGAAUAUUGCACAAUGGGCGGAAGCCUGAUGCAGCAACGCCGCGUGCGGGAUGACGGCCUUCGGGUUGUAAACCGCUUUCGCCUGUGACGAAGCGUGAGUGACGGUAAUGGGUAAAGAAGCACCGGCUAACUACGUG
RNAcentral lists this ribosomal RNA (467 nucleotides) under uncultured bacterium. RNAcentral describes it as "partial 16S ribosomal RNA". It matches the Rfam family "Bacterial small subunit ribosomal RNA", at positions 29 to 507 of the family's 1533-position model. The record is from RNAcentral.